CCGAGAUUGGGCUUGGCUGAUCUUGGUUCUCACUUGUAUUCCUUUCCAUUUCUGGCUUUGCAACUGUCAACACUCCCUGCAUGUAAGGUUUAACGUUAAAUCCAAGGCACUUUUACGUAAUCAGUAGAUCAUACAAGUCAAGAUUCAAGAAUUUGGCAUUUGCUCAACAACAUUCAUUAAAGGCACUAGCUUUCUAUGGCUAAGUAAACAGCUCAACAACGAACCCAGCUGAUUUAGUAAAUGAUCAAAAUGCAUUCAGUCCUAUGGGUCCAGCUGUGAGAAGAUUUCCUAGGUAAUUUGAAUGACUAAGUGAAAGGGAACAAAAAGUGGGUAAAGCAGAUUGCUUCUUACCUCAUGAGAAGCAUCCAAACUUGAAGAGCAACACUCUUCCAUGCCAUUCUUGCUGAUGCGUGAAGAUCCAUCGUCACUGGUUCGGACAGGAUUUGGCACCAGCGAUCCUGGUGCUUCUGAGGGGACGGAUUGGCAGUCAGCUUGAGAUAGAGAUGCACUG
Molecule: long non-coding RNA, 511 nt
Filed under: Linum usitatissimum (flax)
Lineage: Eukaryota; Viridiplantae; Streptophyta; Magnoliopsida; Malpighiales; Linaceae
Description: long non-coding RNA (LUSI_LNC001750)
Source: RNAcentral